CCUACGGGAGGCAGCAGUGAGGAAUAUUGGUCAAUGGCCGAAAGGCUGAACCAGCCAAGUCGCGUGAAGGAAGAAGGAUCUAUGGUUUGUAAACUUCUUUUAUAGGGGAAUAAAGGUAUCCACGUGUGGAUAUUUGCAUGUACCCUAUGAAUAAGCAUCGGCUAACUCCGUGCCAGCAGCCGCGGUAAUACGGAGGAUGCGAGCGUUAUCCGGAUUUAUUGGGUUUAAAGGGUGCGUAGGUUGUUGUUUAAGUCAGCGGUGAAAGUUUGUGGCUCAACCAUAAAAUUGCCGUUGAAACUGGAAGCCUUGAGUGUGUUUGAGGUAGGCGGAAUGCGUGGUGUAGCGGUGAAAUGCAUAGAUAUCACGCAGAACUCCGAUUGCGAAGGCAGCUUACUAGGCCAUAACUGACGCUGAUGCACGAAAGCGUGGGGAUCGAACAGGAUUAGAUACCCCAGUAGUC
RNAcentral lists this ribosomal RNA (460 nucleotides) under uncultured bacterium. Its description in RNAcentral is "partial 16S ribosomal RNA". It matches the Rfam family "Bacterial small subunit ribosomal RNA", at positions 338 to 795 of the family's 1533-position model. The record is from RNAcentral.